UACAGAGGGGGCAAGCGUUGUUCGGAAUUACUGGGCGUAAAGGGCGCGUAGGCGGCCUGUUAAGUCGAACGUGAAAUCCCCGGGCUCAACCCGGGAACUGCGUCCGAUACUGGCAGGCUUGAAUCCGGGAGAGGGAUGCGGAAUUCCAGGUGUAGCGGUGAAAUGCGUAGAUAUCUGGAGGAACACCGGUGGCGAAGGCGGCUCACUGGCCCGGUACUGACGCUGAGGUGCGAAAGCGUGGGGAGCAAACAGG
This 253-nucleotide ribosomal RNA is filed under the name uncultured bacterium. Its description in RNAcentral is "partial 16S ribosomal RNA". It matches the Rfam family "Bacterial small subunit ribosomal RNA", at positions 524 to 776 of the family's 1533-position model. The record is from RNAcentral.